Long non-coding RNA from Ixodes scapularis (black-legged tick), 434 nucleotides. RefSeq lists it as uncharacterized. The record is from RefSeq and is a predicted model, not a curated record. The transcript has 3 exons. NCBI's taxonomy places the organism in Eukaryota, Metazoa, Arthropoda, Arachnida, Ixodida, Ixodidae.
UACACUUAGUGAGUUGCUUCCUCCCUUCUCAUACUGCUGAGUCUACAUUUAAGCAUUCAUUCUUCACAGGAGGACCGACACGACAGAUUGACCUAUCCGCUGAUGCGAAUUGACAAAGAGGACUCAAAGGCCAUAACUGCGGUGUUGGAGAACCACUUAUUUGAGGUGACGGACGGAUUGGGCACUUCAUUGAUUUGAAGUACGAUAUAAAGUCUGCCUUGGCUUUGGAUCUCAUCACAAAUGCAUUCUGUCAGUUCCUCAAGGCUCUUCUCACAUCAUGUGGUGACAUUUGCGUCCAGUGUUAUAUAGCCCUGUCACAUGGAAGAGGUGGAGGAGACCAGCUUACUAAAAAGAAACACUGCCUCUAUUGCUGUCAUCAACAGCCAGCUGGCUGAAAUCAAGCCACCACACAGCUCCACGAGACUCCCAAGGGC